AUCAAAACGACGAACGAGAGAAGUAGGUAAUGACGGGUGUAUCCAGAGAGCCGCGGCAGGUGGAAAUGCGGCAGCACAGAAAUUACUGAAUGGACUUGGGAGUGCGGUCUGAAACCAUGAGGGAGUAGGCGCCGACGGGAGCCCCAUCCGUUAUCAGCGGGGUGCAUAUGAUGGUAUGUAAAAUGAGUGGGUGUGCUGUAAGGCAGUGCAUCAAUUUGGGUGGUAUCGCAGAAGUUACAGACUUUUGUCCCUUAG
RNAcentral lists this non-coding RNA (255 nucleotides) under Eubacterium limosum. RNAcentral's name for it is "T-box sequence". It matches the Rfam family "T-box leader". Rfam says of the family: Uncharged tRNA acts as the effector for transcription antitermination of genes in the T-box leader family. T-boxes are found upstream of many aminoacyl-tRNA synthetase genes and some amino acid biosynthetic genes usually in Gram-positive bacteria. The anticodon of a specific tRNA base pairs to a specifier sequence within the T-box motif, and the NCCA acceptor tail of the tRNA base pairs to a conserved bulge in the T-box antiterminator hairpin. Lineage: Bacteria; Bacillati; Bacillota; Clostridia; Eubacteriales; Eubacteriaceae. The record is from RNAcentral.